GGGGACGUAGCUCAGUUGGGAGAGCGCCUGCUUUGCAAGCAGGAAGUCAGGGGUUCGAAUCCCCUCGUCUCCACCA
This 76-nucleotide transfer RNA is filed under the name Pseudothermotoga sp. Its description in RNAcentral is "tRNA-Ala". It matches the Rfam family "tRNA". From Rfam's summary of the family: Transfer RNA (tRNA) molecules are approximately 80 nucleotides in length. Lineage: Bacteria; Thermotogati; Thermotogota; Thermotogae; Thermotogales; Thermotogaceae. The record is from RNAcentral.